RNAcentral lists this ribosomal RNA (395 nucleotides) under uncultured bacterium. Its description in RNAcentral is "bacterial SSU rRNA". It matches the Rfam family "Bacterial small subunit ribosomal RNA", at positions 362 to 773 of the family's 1533-position model. The record is from RNAcentral.
UUUUCGGCAAUGGGCGCAAGCCUGACCGAGCAACGCCGCGUGGAGGAUGACGGCCUUCGGGUUGUAAACUCCUUUUGGGGGGGAAGACACAGGACGGUACCCCCCGAAUAAGCCUCGGCUAACUCUGUGCCAGCAGCCGCGGUAAGACAGAGGGGGCAAGCGUUGUCCGGAGUUACUGGGCGUAAAGCGCACGCAGGCGGCUCAUCGCGUGUGAGGUGAAAGCUUGGGGCUUAACCCCAAGUCGCCCUUGCAUACGGGUGGGCUCGAGCCAUUCAGAGGUCCCUCGAAUUGCCGGUGUAGUGGUGAAAUGCGUAGAGAUCGGCAGGAAGACCCACGGGGAAGCCAGGGGACUGGGAAUGUGCUGACGCUCAGGUGCGAUAGCGUGGGGAGCGAAC